This 92-nucleotide ribosomal RNA is filed under the name Hysterothylacium aduncum. Its description in RNAcentral is "5.8S ribosomal RNA". It matches the Rfam family "5.8S ribosomal RNA", at positions 1 to 86 of the family's 154-position model. From Rfam's summary of the family: 5.8S ribosomal RNA (5.8S rRNA) is a component of the large subunit of the eukaryotic ribosome. It is transcribed by RNA polymerase I as part of the 45S precursor that also contains 18S and 28S rRNA. Lineage: Eukaryota; Metazoa; Nematoda; Chromadorea; Rhabditida; Raphidascarididae. The record is from RNAcentral.
UGAGUAUAAAUCUUAGCGGUGGAUCACUCGGUUCGUGGAUCGAUGAAGAACGCAGCUAGCUGCGAUAACUAGUGCGAAUUGCAGACACAUUG